UAUCUCUGUAGAGUCUGCAUAUCAAUAAGCGGAGGAAAAGAAACUAACAAGGAUUCCCUAGUAACGGCGAGUGAAGCGGGAAGAGCUCAAAUUUGAAAUCUUCAAGGUUUACCUUGACGAAUUGUAGUUUAUAGAAGUGUUUUCGUUAGUAGGAGUAGUAAAAGUUCUUUGGAAUAGGACAUCAUAGAGGGUGAGAAUCCCGUAUUUGACUAUUCUUUCUAGCUUUGUGAUACACUUUCAAAGAGUCGGAUUGUUUGGGAAUGCAGUCCAAAAUGGGUGGUAAAUUUCAUCUAAAGCUAAUAUUGGCGAGAAACCGAUAGCGAACAAGUACCGUGAGGGAAAGAUGAAAAGAACUUUGAAAAGAGAGUUAAACAGUACGUGAAAUUGUCAAAAGGGAAGCGUUUGACACCAGUGUUGUUUUUCCGAAAAUCAAUUAAAAAUUGAUUCAUGCCAGGUUGUAUUGACCUUAUCAGCUUGCAAUUUGGUUUUGGGUCUCUUUUUGAUGCACUUUUCGGUUAACAAGUCAACAUCAAUUUCCUUUGCUGUAAAAAGGUAAGAGGAAGGUGGCUUCAAUUUCGGUUGAAGUGUUUAUAGCCUUUUAUCUCUGCAGUCGGGAGAUUGAGGUCUGCAGCGUAGAUCCUUCGGGGCUAGAUACAUUUAUGCUAAGUUAUAGCUUUUCAUAGACAACUUGUUGACUAUGUUUAGUCAUGUAGCUUACUCGUAAGUGCUAUUUUACCUACGCUUAGGAUGUUGAAGACUCUACAGAGAU
This 769-nucleotide ribosomal RNA is filed under the name uncultured Neocallimastigales. RNAcentral describes it as "partial large subunit ribosomal RNA". It matches the Rfam family "Eukaryotic large subunit ribosomal RNA", at positions 24 to 638 of the family's 3401-position model. The record is from RNAcentral. Lineage: Eukaryota; Fungi; Neocallimastigomycota; Neocallimastigomycetes; Neocallimastigales.